UAAUUCAAGUAGAAAUUGUCGUUUCUCACCUUGCAGCAUAGCUAGUUAGGUUAUCUUUGAAUAUUAGUCUAGUACUAUAUACGAGAGACGGCUUGUGUCGUCUCUUUUUAUUUUAA
Molecule: regulatory RNA element, 116 nt
Rfam family: Ribosomal protein L20 leader
About the family: This family is a putative r-protein leader autoregulatory structure found in B. subtilis and other low-GC Gram-positive bacteria. It is located in the 5' untranslated regions of mRNAs encoding initiation factor 3 followed by ribosomal proteins L35 and L20 (infC-rpmI-rplT). A Rho-independent transcription terminator structure that is probably involved in regulation is included at the 3' end.
Source: Rfam